CACCUGUUUAUCAAAAACAUGGUUUUAUGAUUAUAUUUUAAGAUUAUUCUGCUCAAUGAUUAUAUAUAACAUUAAAUAGCCGCAGUAUUUUGACUGUGCAAAGGUAGCAUAAUCAAUUGUCUUUUAAUUAAAGACUAGAAUGAAGGAAUGGAUGAAAUUUUAACUGUCUUUAUAAAAAAAUUAGAAUUUAAAUUUUAAGUUAAAAUGCUUAAAUGGAAUUAUGGGACGAGAAGACCCUAUAGAAUUUUAUAUAAAUUUUAAAUUAUAUAAGAAUAAGUAAUUAAAAUUAAAUUUAAAAUUAUAUUUUAUUGGGAGGAUAAUUAAAUUAAGUUAACUUUAUUUAUUAAUUGAAAUUAUUAAUUUUUAAUUUUUUAAUAUGUUUAAAUAAUGUAAAGAUUAUGUAUUUUAUUUAUUUUAAUAUUUAUUAUUAAUUAUUAAUUAAUAAUUUAUUAAAACAUUAAUUAUUGAAAAAAUGAAUAAAUUUUAUUAAAUUUAUGUAAGAAUUAAUUACCUUAGGGAUAACAGCGUUAUAUUUUUUAAAAGAUCAUAUUGAGAAAAAUGUUUGCGACCUCGAUGUUGAAUUAAAAUAAAAAUUAAAUGAAGAAGUUUAAUAUUUUAGUCUGUUCGACUAUUAAAAUUUUACAUGAUUUGAGUUCAAAUCGACG
Molecule: ribosomal RNA, 665 nt
Filed under: Iberoformica subrufa
Lineage: Eukaryota; Metazoa; Arthropoda; Insecta; Hymenoptera; Formicidae
Description: partial 16S ribosmal RNA
Rfam family: Bacterial large subunit ribosomal RNA (bases 518-665)
Source: RNAcentral